RNAcentral lists this ribosomal RNA (274 nucleotides) under uncultured bacterium. Its description in RNAcentral is "partial 16S ribosomal RNA". It matches the Rfam family "Bacterial small subunit ribosomal RNA", at positions 523 to 796 of the family's 1533-position model. The record is from RNAcentral.
AUACGGAGGGAGCAAGCGUUAUUCGGAAUCACUGGGCGUAAAGGACGCGUAGGCGGGUUUGUAAGUCAGGUGUGAAAUCCUACAGCUCAACUGUAGAACUGCACUUGAAACUACAGACCUAGAGUAUGGAAGGGGCAGAUGGAAUUAGUGGUGUAGGGGUAAAAUCCGUAGAUAUCACUAGGAAUACCGAAAGCGAAGGCGAUCUGCUGGGACAUUACUGACGCUGAGGCGUGAAAGCGUGGGGAGCAAACAGGAUUAGAAACCCUUGUAGUCC